This 248-nucleotide ribosomal RNA is filed under the name uncultured bacterium. RNAcentral describes it as "partial 16S ribosomal RNA". It matches the Rfam family "Bacterial small subunit ribosomal RNA", at positions 15 to 243 of the family's 1533-position model. The record is from RNAcentral.
GAUCCUGGCUCAGGACGAACGCUGGCGGCGUGCCUAAUACAUGCAAGUAGAACGCUGAAGGAGGAGCUUGCUUCUCCGGAUGAGUUGCGAACGGGUGAGUAACGCGUAGGUAACCUGCCUGGUAGCGGGGGAUAACUAUUGGAAACGAUAGCUAAUACCGCCAUAAUAGUAGAUGUUGUCAUGACAUUUGUCUUAAAAGGUUAAGGUCGAAUUAGUCAUCACUACCACGAAUGGACGUCGCGUUGUUA